RNAcentral lists this transfer RNA (91 nucleotides) under Candidatus Bathyarchaeota archaeon. RNAcentral's name for it is "tRNA-Arg". It matches the Rfam family "tRNA". Rfam says of the family: Transfer RNA (tRNA) molecules are approximately 80 nucleotides in length. Their secondary structure includes four short double-helical elements and three loops (D, anti-codon, and T loops). The record is from RNAcentral. Lineage: Archaea; Thermoproteati; Candidatus Bathyarchaeota. RNAcentral also lists the same sequence under 1 other name.
GGGCCCGUGGCGCAGCAUGGAUAUGAAAACCAUAAAGCGCGUCGGCCUUCUAAGCCGGAGAUCCGGGGUUCAAAUCCCCGCGGGCCCGCCA